This 379-nucleotide ribosomal RNA is filed under the name uncultured eukaryote. RNAcentral describes it as "partial 18S ribosomal RNA". It matches the Rfam family "Eukaryotic small subunit ribosomal RNA", at positions 592 to 976 of the family's 1831-position model. The record is from RNAcentral.
CAAUAGCGUAUAUUUAAGUUGCUGCAGUUAAAAAGCUCGUAGUUGGAUUUCUGGUCGAAGCAGCCGCUCGGCUUCUAGUAAGUUUGUAGCAGGCGCUUCGUCCAUUUUUGUAAAGACUAUGUCUGUCAUUAAGUUGGUGGGCAUAGGACUUGCAUCAUUUACUGUGAGCAAAAUAGAGUGUUCAAAGCAGGCUUAGGCCAUGAAUAUCUUAGCAUGGAAUAAUAAGAUAAGACCUUGGUCUAUUUUGUUGGUUAGCAUUCCGAGGUAAUGAUUAAUAGGGAUAGUUGGGGGUAUUCGUAUUCAAUUGUCAGAGGUGAAAUUCUUGGAUUUAUUGAAGACGAACUACUGCGAAAGCAUUUACCAAGGAUGUUUUCAUUAA